CGUAGUUCUACUAUAUAAUUAUCUUUAGCCACUCCUCCUGACUGGAUUUGUUCUUUAUUCAUUCUACGAUGAAGACCCUGAAUGAAGAACUUUUUCUUCCUGUUUGGAAACCACCUUGAUAUUUCACUAUCAGAAAUAGAUGAAAUGGAGCUGCACUUCACUUGGGUUGUGACCUAGAGUCUUAAAACAGUACAACUCUGAAGAGGUCAAAAGUCGACUCUGCAGCAAGCUGGAGUAAAAUGUGACAAACCAUAUGGAACAAGUCAGCUGACUGCAACAUUUACACCUGUGUGUUACAUACCUGUGUCUGCGGUUGUUGAUCUCCACUUGCUUUUUGGGCCAUGAUGGAGUAGUCCAUCUGAACAAGAUCAUCUGAUCAUCACCCAUCACAUUAGUGCAUGACACUUUAUUCUUUAGUUUUUUAACAAGCUACAAACUGUACAGAAUUGUUUCACUCAAAUCAAUAAUCCAUUUAUCUAUUUAUUUUGAAGGACAGGUCAACUAGACAUUAUCACAAAA
Long non-coding RNA from Sinocyclocheilus anshuiensis, 519 nucleotides. RefSeq lists it as uncharacterized. The record is from RefSeq and is a predicted model, not a curated record. Lineage: Eukaryota; Metazoa; Chordata; Actinopteri; Cypriniformes; Cyprinidae. The transcript has 4 exons.